Molecule: small RNA, 29 nt
Filed under: Bombyx mori (domestic silkworm)
Lineage: Eukaryota; Metazoa; Arthropoda; Insecta; Lepidoptera; Bombycidae
Description: piRNA piR-bmo-2082606
Source: RNAcentral
GAUCGUGUGAACUGCGAAGAUAUAUACGC